This 76-nucleotide transfer RNA is filed under the name Gemmatimonadota bacterium. RNAcentral describes it as "Gemmatimonadetes bacterium tRNA-Thr". It matches the Rfam family "tRNA". Rfam says of the family: Transfer RNA (tRNA) molecules are approximately 80 nucleotides in length. Their secondary structure includes four short double-helical elements and three loops (D, anti-codon, and T loops). The record is from RNAcentral. Lineage: Bacteria; Pseudomonadati; Gemmatimonadota.
GCUGACGUAGCUCAAGUGGUAGAGCAGCUGAUUUGUAAUCAGCCGGUUCCCGGUUCGAGUCCGGGCGUCAGCUCCU